UUUUUAAAUUCAAAUGUCUUAACCCUUUUGUUAUCACUUUCUGAUUCAUUUCUAAUCAUUUUUUUUUUUUUGUAAACUUUUCCUUGCUAUUCCUAUCCUUGAUCUCUAGGUAUUCUUUUAAUUAUCAGAACAAUUUCGUACAUCAAAUAUCUUCUCCAUUCGUAUCAUCCAUUUUUCUGCCACUAAUGGAUUAAGUGCACCAUGCUUCUGCUACGUCACUUUGAUUCAAUAUCCCCGAUCACCCCUUUCAUCUCACUUAAUUAAUCAAAACCAGAUGAAGUAGGAGAAUCAAAUGUCCUCGUCCUCCUAGAUUCCUAAAG
RNAcentral lists this long non-coding RNA (320 nucleotides) under Musa acuminata (dwarf banana). RNAcentral's name for it is "long non-coding RNA (MACU_LNC005220)". The record is from RNAcentral. Lineage: Eukaryota; Viridiplantae; Streptophyta; Magnoliopsida; Zingiberales; Musaceae.